AUGUGCCACUCGCACACUGUGGGUCCUGACGCGCCGUCCGCACUCACCUGAAGACCACCCGCGAUGUUUUGUUGGCC
Molecule: small RNA, 77 nt
Filed under: Xanthomonas arboricola pv. populi
Lineage: Bacteria; Pseudomonadati; Pseudomonadota; Gammaproteobacteria; Lysobacterales; Lysobacteraceae
Description: sX9 sRNA
Rfam family: Xanthomonas sRNA sX9
Source: RNAcentral